This is a long non-coding RNA of Cucurbita moschata (crookneck pumpkin), 392 nucleotides long. RefSeq lists it as uncharacterized. NCBI's taxonomy places the organism in Eukaryota, Viridiplantae, Streptophyta, Magnoliopsida, Cucurbitales, Cucurbitaceae. The record is from RefSeq and is a predicted model, not a curated record. The transcript is spliced from 3 exons.
UAGCGAAAGGGCACGCGUCAACCAGGUAAGUCACCACCCGGUAUUUAGGAAGAAAUACUUGUAGAAUUCGCUUGGAUUGCAUGCAUACUAGUAAUUUUGCCUCAGAUUAGCUCCCCAUGAAUGAGAUUAGUCAGAUUGAUUGUUAUGAGUGUAUUAGGUGAAUUAUCUAAGUGUUGCUUGUAUGCUUUAAGCUUCCGCCGUACGAAUGCAUGCGUUUAAUUUAUGUUGCAAUUGUGUAUUCCGCGUUCCGGGUGCUUGAUGGAUGAAUUCGUCCCAUUGAGCGCGAACUUCGUGUUUUGGGUGGUUGAUGGAGGCCAUCGCCCCAUUGAGCCAGCAUGCCUAGUUUGCAUGAAUUAUAUAUUAUGAUGUUAGAAGACGGAGUUAGUUGAGAG